This 1679-nucleotide ribosomal RNA is filed under the name Eugnathogobius oligactis. RNAcentral's name for it is "16S ribosomal RNA". The stretch from base 165 to 1567 matches the Rfam family "Bacterial large subunit ribosomal RNA". The record is from RNAcentral. Lineage: Eukaryota; Metazoa; Chordata; Actinopteri; Gobiiformes; Gobiidae.
UCUGCCCCCACCAGCUAGCUCCCUCCCCCCUAAAAACAAACAACAAAUUAAAAACCCCCAAAAGACAAACAAAAACAAAAUAAAAUUUUUUUACCCCCUUAAUGGGGGCGACAAAAAAAGGACCCGGGAGCAAAAGAGAAAGUACCCCGCAAGGGAAAGCUGAAAGAAAUGAUGAAACUCAGUAAGGGCUAAAAGCAGAGAUUACCCCUCGUACCUUUUGCAUCAUGACUUAGUCAGAAGCUCUCGAGCAAAGCGCCCUGUAGUUCGAGCCCCCGAAACUGUGUGAGCUACUCCAAGACAGCCUAUAUAAAGGGCAAACCCGUCUCUGUGGCAAAAGAGUGGGAAGAUCUUUGAGUAGGGGUGACAGACCUACCGAACACAGUUAUAGCUGGUUGUCUACAAAAUGAAUAAAAGUUCAGCCUUUAGGUUUCUUUACUCAACCUUGUACACACCCCUUGUGACCCCAAGAAACCAAAAGAGUUAUUCAAAGGGGGGACAGCCCCUUUGAAAAAAGAUACAACUUUUCAGCAGGCUAAAGAUCAAAAGAAUUUAAGGCAGACACCCAGGUGGGCCUAAAAGCAGCCAUCCUCGCAGAAAGCGUUAAAGCUCAAGUGCUUACCAACCCCCAAUUCCGACAACAACACCUUAAGCCUCUCCCCCAUAGUAGACCUUCUCAUGCAACCAUGAAAGAGACACUGCUAAGAUGAGUAAUAAGAGGGCCCGCCCCUCUCCCAGACACGUCCUUACAUCAGAACGAACCCCCACUGAAAAUUAACGCCCCCAACCUUAGAGGGGACUGAGACACCCCGCAAUUAACAAGAAAACCUCUCAAAACAAAAGCGUUAACCCAACACAGGUGUGUCUAGGGAAAGACUAAAAGAAAAAGAAGGAACUCGGCAAACACCAGCCUCGCCUGUUUACCAAAAACAUCGCCUCUUGCAUCAAAUGUAUAAGAGGUCCCGCCUGCCCUGUGACUUAUUCUUAAGUUUAACGGCCGCGGUAUUUUGACCGUGCGAAGGUAGCGCAAUCACUUGUCUUUUAAAUGGAGACCUGUAUGAAUGGCACAACGAGGGCUAAGCUGUCUCCUUUUUCCAGUCAAUGAAAUUGAUCUCCCCGUGCAGAAGCGGGGAUUGAACCAUAAGACGAGAAGACCCUAUGGAGCUUUAGACAAAAGAUAGCCCACGUAAAAACACCUAGCUUAAUAGGACUAACAAAAUGGCACCUGUCCCAUGUCUUUGGUUGGGGCGACCGCGGGGAAACAAAAAACCCCCACGUGGACACAGGAAAUGCUCCUUGAAGUAAGAGCGACCGCUCUAACUAACAGAACAUCUGACCAGCAAGAUCCGGCAUGGCCGAUCAACGGAACGAGUUACCCUAGGGAUAACAGCGCAAUCCCCUUUUAGAGUCCAUAUCGACAAGGGGGUUUACGACCUCGAUGUUGGAUCAGGACAUCCUAAUGGUGCAGCCGCUAUUAAGGGUUCGUUUGUUCAACGAUUAAAGUCCUACGGAUCUGAGUUCAGACCGGAGUAUCCAGGUCAGUUUCUAUCUAUGAGUUGCUCUUUUCUAGUACGAAAGGACCGAAAAGAGGGGGCCCCCGCUAUAAGCAAGCCCCUCCCCCACCUAAUGAAGAGAACUAAAUUAGGCAAGGGGGCAAGCAGCAUAGUCUGAGAAAAAGACAA